Molecule: RNA transcript, 2726 nt
Organism: Glycine soja
Lineage: Eukaryota; Viridiplantae; Streptophyta; Magnoliopsida; Fabales; Fabaceae
Exons: 9
Source: RefSeq, a predicted model, not a curated record
CGAUCAUACGUGCAUGCCUUUUCAUCUCCGCACGUCUCACUCUCGCCUUCACCCUACCUUUUCAUCUCCGCAAAUCUCCGUUGUGACCUUCCACAAACCCCCUUCACACUCUCAGCUUUACUCUCGACCUCUCGGAAGCCUAGCGGUGGGGGCGACACCUCCAUCGUCGCAGCAGCAGGGACUCUGGUUCUUCCUCCGCUUCCACAAUAUGCCACGUGUUCAUACCCUCGCGCAUCUCCCCCAGGUCGAAUCUGUGAGCCGCUACGCAUCCGAUCUCAACCGCAUGAUUCUUCAGAAUUGACUUUGUUGUAGUCUCCUUUUAUUAUAGUUUGUCAUUUCGGUUCGCUUUUAUUUGACUUGACUGGGAUUUUAGCUUUGUUGCUUAAAUUGAUUUCGUUUUCUUGUAUAUGUUUUUAGGUCUUGAUUGCGGCAAGUAAUGCUACGAAGGAGAAGGCACAGAUUUUGGGCUAUUAAGUUUGGGGAAGUUUGGGGCAUUCCCUGAGGCUGUAAUAAGAACCUACACAAAGCAGCUACUACUUGUACUCGAGUACUUGCACAAAAAUGGAAUCAUGCACAGAGACAUUAAGGGGCCAAUAUUCUUGUAGAUAAUAAAGGAUGCAUAAAACUUGCAGACUUUGGGGCAUCCAAACAAGUUGUUGAGCUGAUAAUCUCAGUCUUAUAUGUAGCUCUACUAUUGUGCAACCAUUUAUGGUGCCAAGUCCAUGAAGGGUACUCCAUAUUGGAUGGCUCCAGAAGUUAUUCUCUAGACUGGGCAUAGCUUCUCUGUUGACAUAUGAAGUGUGGGUUGUACUGUGAUUGAGAUGGCCACUGCGAAGCCUCCCUGGAGUCAGCAAUACCAACAAGAGUAGAUGAAAUAGACCCACAGCAAUCGUGACCGGAAGGUGCAGAGACAAGGAAGCCAUGGCAUGGACAUCACUGGUCCAACAAAAAGUCCAAAGCAAGUGAGAGAGAGUUUCUAAAACUAAUCAGUGUCUUGAAGAUUCUAUCUUUUUGUUUCUUUCUGGUUAGCUUUGCCAUUUGUGCUUAUUUGUUUCAAUGUACAUAAAGUUGAGUUUGGGAAAAUAUGCAGGAAUACAUUGCAAAAUCCCUUAUGGCCAAGGAUCAAUUUUUGGAUUCUUCAGCCAAGAUAAUGUACAUGUUGGGGAUAUCAUCAUCAAAGAUCAAGUGUCUAUUUUGCCCUCUAUUAUUUUUCAGUCAGAAUUGUGAUUGAAUUUUAUAUGCUUCUUUGGUUUCACUGUUAGCUUGUUGCUUCCCAUCCUCAAGGAAUUUGCAGAGAUUACAAGGGAAGGAUCUUUGGCACUUGCAGCACUUCCAUUUGAUGGCAUACUUGGACUUGGAUUCCAUGAUACUUCAAUUGGAAAAGUCACACCAGUGUGGUACACACAAGAACUUCAUUAAUUCAUUUCUAUGUUUAUUGAUGUUUCUUCUUUCCAUUUUAAAUUUGAAUAGAAGUGCAAGAAUAAUGGUGUGAUUGUAUUUUUUUUAUAAUAAGUACUUCCCUUUUUUAUUUCUAGACUUUUUGAAUGUCUAAGAUACAGUUGUUAGUUUUGGGACUACAGGUAUAAUAUUUUUAUUGUCGUUGAUGAAGAAAUACGAAAAAAAAUAAUGAUUCAACAUCGGUUAUUAGGAUGAUCAAUGUUGAAUUAUGAAUAUACUACAUCAGUUAGCUGGAAAACUGAUGUAGAAUGACUGACAUUCUACAUCGGAUAAUUAGACAACCGAUGUUAAAUUAUGAAAUUCUACAUCGGUCCAUGUCAAGGGACCGUAGUAGAAUAGAAACCGAUCUACAUCGGUCCAACCAAGCGACCGUUGUAGAAUUAACGUCAUUCUAUAUCGGUCUUUGUGAUCGUCGUAGAACAUCAACCCCCUUUUUACGUCGUCUUCUACAACAUCGGUCCAUAAUCUAUGUAGAAUGGUUAAUUUAACCGAUGUAAAAUGCGUUUGCUGUAGUAGUGUUGCCUUUGUGGUUCAACACGUCAAUUUGUUUCAAGUCCUACUACAGCUCAUCAUUAAGCAGCUUUUUGCGUUCUUCGAUAUUUGAAAGGCACUCCAGGUUUAGGUGUUUUCUGGUCAGCUGAUAGCUCUUUAUAAAUCAAAGCUUUUAGUGAUUCCGAUUAGGCUAGCUGUGUUGAUUCUCGCCGAUCCAUCACUAGUUUUUCCGUCUAUCUUGGUUCCUCUUUGAUUUCUUGGCGUUCCAAGAAACAUACUACAGUUUCUAGGAGCUCUUCUGAAGCAGAAUAUAGGGCUUUAGCAUCUACGACUUGUGAACUCCAAUGGAUUACUUAUCUUUUGGAGGACCUGGGCGUUCCUUUUGUUCGUCUUGCUCUUUUAUAUUGCAAUAAUCAGUCGGCUUUGCAAAUUGCAUCUAACCAAGUUUUCCACGAACGAACAAAGCAUAUUGAAAUCGAUUGCCAUAUCGUUCGUGACAAGGUGUAUGCUGGUUUUCUCAAGCUUUUACUUGUUGCUUCUUCUCUCCAACUUGCAGAUAUCUAUACAAAAGUCAUGACUCCUACUAUUUUUCAUGGAUUUCGUUCCAAGCUAGGAAUGCUCAAUAUCAAUUCCCAGCUUGAGGGGGGCUCUUAACAGUAAUUAGUUUUUCUGUUAUACUUUCUGUUUUGUUGAGCUGUAUUUUCUAUUAUUCCCUUAGUUGACAUUGUAUAUAUACUUCAUUUUCUGCAAUAAUAACUUCACGCCUCUGUUGAUCA